RNAcentral lists this long non-coding RNA (248 nucleotides) under Carica papaya (papaya). RNAcentral's name for it is "long non-coding RNA (CPAP_LNC013864)". The record is from RNAcentral. Lineage: Eukaryota; Viridiplantae; Streptophyta; Magnoliopsida; Brassicales; Caricaceae.
GCUCCAUCACCAAUAAGUGCUGUCUGAUCGCCGGGCGGAGGCCCCACUGGAAUUUCCUGGCCUUUCGGCCCUCAUCCAACAAUGUCUCCGGGGCAUGUCGGCCCAGCUCCAGGAACUUGUGGGCAUACUCCGACACUGUCAUAUUACCCUGGACCAAUUGAGCAAAUUCUAUUUCCUUUAAAUGUUGGAUGUGUUUAGGAAGAUACUCCGCAUGGAAUGCCGCUAGGAACUGCUCCCAAGUAACUGGU